GGGGGUGAAAUGGUUUCGACGGGGAUAGUGAGGGCCGGAUAAGCGAGCCGAAGCCCCGAGCUUCGUUAAAAGCGGGAAAACUGUUAAAUAUAACAGACAACAACUACGCACUUCCUGUCGCUGCCUAAGCGCGUGACAGCGUCCGACUGAGAAGACCUAUCGUCUCAGAUACGGGCGUCAUUCAGGAUAGGGAACGAACCCGGGUAAGCUUUGCCCCGGGCCGGACUUUAUGAAGCUACCGGAUCGGUGAUCCCGCCGUUGGGAGCGCCGCCAGGGGAAUACUUGUACGACGGCUACGCUCGUAGAAAGUUGGGUCAUCAUGUCUUCGGACGGGAGUUCGACUCUCC
Molecule: transfer-messenger RNA, 347 nt
Filed under: bovine gut metagenome
Rfam family: transfer-messenger RNA
About the family: Bacterial tmRNA, also known as 10Sa RNA or SsrA, is named for its dual tRNA and mRNA-like properties. Its role is to liberate the mRNA from a stalled ribosome.
Source: RNAcentral